Molecule: ribosomal RNA, 492 nt
Filed under: uncultured bacterium
Lineage: Bacteria
Description: partial 16S ribosomal RNA
Rfam family: Bacterial small subunit ribosomal RNA
Source: RNAcentral
AGUGAACGCUGGCGGUAGGCCUAACACAUGCAAGUCGAACGGCAGCACAGUAAGAGCUUGCUCUUACGGGUGGCGAGUGGCGGACGGGUGAGGAAUACAUCGGAAUCUACUUUUUCGUGGGGGAUAACGUAGGGAAACUUACGCUACUACCGCAUACGACCUACGGGUUAAAGCAGGGGAUCUUCGGACCUUGCGCGACUGAAUGAGCCGAUGUCGGAUUAGCUAGUUGGCAGGGUAAAGGCCCACCAAGGCGACGAUCCGUAGCUGGUCUGAGAGGAUGAUCAGCCACACUGGAACUGAGACACGGUCCAGACUCCUACGGGAGGCAGCAGUGGGGAAUAUUGGACAAUGGGCGCAAGCCUGAUCCAGCAAUACCGCGUGGGUGAAGAAGGCCUUCGGGUUGUAAAGCCCUUUUGUUGGGAAAGAAAAGCAGCAGGUUAAUACCCCGCUGUUCUGACGGUACCCAAAGAAUAAGCACCGGCUAACUUCGUG